UAGUGGAGCGAUUUGUCUGCUUAAUUGCGAUAACGAACGAGAUCCGAGCCCACUUAUAAUAGUGGGUAGCAUUAGUUUUCCACUUUGCCUUUGUGUGUGUGUGUGUUUACGCGCGCGCGCGCACACUGGUUUAACAGCGGUUAACCUAUGCAAGUCCGCUUCUUAGAGGCACAAUAUGCGAUAUAAUAGCAUAUAGAAGUUGGACCAUAACA
RNAcentral lists this ribosomal RNA (212 nucleotides) under uncultured eukaryote. RNAcentral describes it as "partial 18S ribosomal RNA". It matches the Rfam family "Eukaryotic small subunit ribosomal RNA", at positions 1299 to 1458 of the family's 1831-position model. The record is from RNAcentral.